This 253-nucleotide ribosomal RNA is filed under the name uncultured bacterium. RNAcentral describes it as "partial 16S ribosomal RNA". It matches the Rfam family "Bacterial small subunit ribosomal RNA", at positions 524 to 776 of the family's 1533-position model. The record is from RNAcentral.
UACAGAGGUCUCAAGCGUUGUUCGGAUUCAUUGGGCGUAAAGGGUGUGUAGGUGGCGCGCUAAGUCGGGUGUGAAAUUUCGGAGCUUAACUCCGAAACUGCAUUCGAUACUGGCGUGCUUGAGGACUGGAGAGGAGACUGGAAUUCAUGGUGUAGCAGUGAAAUGCGUAGAGAUCAUGAGGAAGACCAGAGGCGAAGGCGGCUUUCUGGCUCGCAACUGACGCUGAGGCGCGAAAGCGUGGGGAGCAAACAGG